CAGUCGCCGCGGUAAUACGAAGGGUGCAAGCGUUACUCGGAAUUACUGGGCGUAAAGCGUGCGUAGGUGGUGGUUUAAGUCCGUUGUGAAAGCCCUGGGCUCAACCUGGGAAUUGCAGUGGAUACUGGGUAACUAGAGUGCGGUAGAGGAGAGUGGAAUUUCCGGUGUAGCAGUGAAAUGCGUAGAGAUCGGAAGGAACAUCUGUGGCGAAGGCGACUAUCUGGGCCAAUACUGACACUGAGGCACGAAAGCGUGGGGAGCAAACAGGAUUAGAUACCCCUGUAGUCCCUGUCUCUUAUAC
RNAcentral lists this ribosomal RNA (301 nucleotides) under uncultured bacterium. RNAcentral's name for it is "partial 16S ribosomal RNA". It matches the Rfam family "Bacterial small subunit ribosomal RNA", at positions 509 to 807 of the family's 1533-position model. The record is from RNAcentral.